Strongylocentrotus purpuratus (purple sea urchin) is the source of this 1378-nucleotide long non-coding RNA. RefSeq lists it as uncharacterized. Lineage: Eukaryota; Metazoa; Echinodermata; Echinoidea; Camarodonta; Strongylocentrotidae. The record is from RefSeq and is a predicted model, not a curated record. The transcript has 5 exons.
GAGAGAGAGAGAGAUAAUCUGCAGAUGUUGUCCUAAAUUUUUCCAGUGGUUGUCCAGCUAACAUACGCGAGUCUAUGUAAACCGCUCGAUAAUUCGCAGUCGUUGUCUCGGACAACCACUGCAAGCUGCAGUGGUUGUCCCGAUCGCGUCCCGACCACGUAAUUCACGAUCGCACACUUCGCCCUCCAUAACACUGUAAAUUUCUUUCAACAUUUGUACAUUGAAGAUACCACUAUUAUGUUACAACAACAACAACAAAUAAUCUGUGAUUUCGAAUUUCGGGAAUCCAAGUUGUACGGUAAAUGUCUAAUUAUCGGAAAAUAUUGAUACCUAUUACAUUUAUCUUGUGACUACUCGCUAUUUUAGGAUUUUGAAAAUACGUGAAAAUAAUUUAAUACGAGAUAACGCCGCUUGAGAUGAGCAGAAUGAUGCUAAUUGCUAACGAAGCUUCGAAGUUUGCCAAAGUGAAAGUAAGACUCGCUUGCCGGGAAGUCUGGCGGCUCUCGCGAGGAGCUAACUCCAGGUAGCUGCGCCCCCCAAGGCGUGGCGGCAGAGCUUCCUGGAGUUGACAAGUUGCCUACUGCACUGCCUACCGAGCUGAGCUGAGCUGAGCUGAGUGUGACAUGUGAAGCCACAACAAUUGCUAGCCCAACAGCUCUCAUAUUGACAUCUACUGUAAAGUUAAUCCAGGAUGUCAUUGUCUAGUGACAAUGACAUAGUGCUUGUUCAGUGGGACAGAGAUGGUCAGGAAAAUACAGUUCUCAAGAAUGAAUUGUGCUACACUGCAAGACUGAAAUUGGGGUCUAGAGCGGUGAUGAAUUAGACAGUUUGGAACUGAUGGACCCUGGCCUGGAACAGUGACAGUCAUUGCUGAUUUUGACACAGAAUCUAAAGCUGGGUCUGAAAAUGACGAUGUUCCACUUGCUUCUCUCAGAGAAAUAGAGAAGUCUGUCUGCACUCAAAUUCCUGCAAGUGUUCCCUCCAGCAACCAGGCCUCUGUAAGUGAACCCUUUCGCACCCAGGCCCCUGUGAGUGCGACCCUCCAAUACCCAGGCCCAUGUGAGUGGACCCUUCUGCAUCCAGCCCUUUGAGGGUACCCUUCUGCACUCAGCCCCCUGCAAGUGGACCCUCCAGCAACCAGCCCCCUGCGAGUGGACCCUUCUGCACCCAGACCCCUCCGAGUGGACUCUCCAGCAACCAGCCCCCUGCGAGUGGACCCUUCUGCACCAAAUCACUUGUAUCAAAUUUUUAGGUCGUGAUAUCUCCGGAAUCCUUUCACGAUCAAUUUUCUAGUUGAAGCAAUUUUUAGUAAAAAACUUUGCUGUCCAUUUGGUAAUAAUUGAAAUAAACACAUUUGUGUAGAAUAUGAGAAAUCAUU